ACGGGUGAGUAACACGUGGGUAACCUGCCUGUAAGACUGGGAUAACUCCGGGAAACCGGAGCUAAUACCGGAUAGUUCCUUGAACCGCAUGGUUCAAGGAUGAAAGACGGUUUCGGCUGUCACUUACAGAUGGACCCGCGGCGCAUUAGCUAGUUGGUGAGGUAACGGCUCACCAAGGCGACGAUGCGUAGCCGACCUGAGAGGGUGAUCGGCCACACUGGGACUGAGACACGGCCCAGACUCCUACGGGAGGCAGCAGUAGGGAAUCUUCCGCAAUGGACGAAAGUCUGACGGAGCAACGCCGCGUGAGUGAUGAAGGUUUUCGGAUCGUAAAGCUCUGUUGUUAGGGAAGAACAAGUGCAAGAGUAACUGCUUGCACCUUGACGGUACCUAACCAGAAAGCCACGGCUAACUACGUGCCAGCAGCCGCGGUAAUACGUAGGUGGCAAGCGUUGUCCGGAAUUAUUGGGCGUAAAGGGCUCGCAGGCGGUUUCUUAAGUCUGAUGUGAAAGCCCCCGGCUCAACCGGGGAGGGUCAUUGGAAACUGGGAAACUUGAGUGCAGAAGAGGAGAGUGGAAUUCCACGUGUAGCGGUGAAAUGCGUAGAGAUGUGGAGGAACACCAGUGGCGAAGGCGACUCUCUGGUCUGUAACUGACGCUGAGGAGCGAAAGCGUGGGGAGCGAACAGGAUUAGAUACCCUGGUAGUCCACGCCGUAAACGAUGAGUGCUAAGUGUUAGGGGGUUUCCGCCCCUUAGUGCUGCAGCUAACGCAUUAAGCACUCCGCCUGGGGAGUACGGUCGCAAGACUGAAACUCAAAGGAAUUGACGGGGGCCCGCACAAGCGGUGGAGCAUGUGGUUUAAUUCGAAGCAACGCGAAGAACCUUACCAGGUCUUGACAUCCUCUGACAACCCUAGAGAUAGGGCUUUCCCUUCGGGGACAGAGUGACAGGUGGUGCAUGGUUGUCGUCAGCUCGUGUCCUGAGAUGUUGGGGUUAAGUCCCGCAACGAGCGCAACCCUUGAUCUUAGUUGCCACCAUUUAGUUGGGCACCCUAAGGUGACGGCCGGUGACAACCCGAG
RNAcentral lists this ribosomal RNA (1079 nucleotides) under Bacillus sp. (in: firmicutes). RNAcentral describes it as "bacterial SSU rRNA". It matches the Rfam family "Bacterial small subunit ribosomal RNA", at positions 102 to 1166 of the family's 1533-position model. The record is from RNAcentral. Lineage: Bacteria; Bacillati; Bacillota; Bacilli; Caryophanales; Bacillaceae.